CCUACGGGGGGCUGCAGUGGGGAAUAUUGCACAAUGGGCGGAAGCCUGAUGCAGCAACGCCGCGUGCGGGAUGACGGCCUUCGGGUUGUAAACCGCUUUCGCCUGUGACGAAGCGUGAGUGACGGUAAUGGGUAAAGAAGCACCGGCUAACUACGUGCCAGCAGCCGCGGUGAUACGUAGGGUGCGAGCGUUGUCCGGAUUUAUUGGGCGUAAAGGGCUCGUAGGUGGUUGAUCGCGUCGGAAGUGUAAUCUUGGGGCUUAACCCUGAGCGUGCU
Molecule: ribosomal RNA, 275 nt
Filed under: uncultured Propionibacterium sp.
Lineage: Bacteria; Bacillati; Actinomycetota; Actinomycetes; Propionibacteriales; Propionibacteriaceae
Description: partial 16S ribosomal RNA
Rfam family: Bacterial small subunit ribosomal RNA
Source: RNAcentral